UACAGAGGUCCCAAGCGUUGUUCGGAAUUACUGGGCGUAAAGGGCUCGUAGGUGGUCAACUAAGUCAUACGUGAAAUCCCUCGGCUUAACCGGGGAACUGCGCCUGAUACUGGUUGACUUGAGUUUGGGAGAGGGACGCGGAAUUCCAGGUGUAGCGGUGAAAUGCGUAGAUAUCUGGAGGAACACCGGUGGCGAAGGCGGCGUCCUGGACCAAUACUGACACUGAGGAGCGAAAGCCAGGGGAGCAAACGGG
Molecule: ribosomal RNA, 253 nt
Filed under: uncultured bacterium
Lineage: Bacteria
Description: partial 16S ribosomal RNA
Rfam family: Bacterial small subunit ribosomal RNA
Source: RNAcentral